CCAUGGAGGUUAUGCCUUAGUACGGCGAGUGAAGCGGCAAAAGCUCAAAUUUGAAAUCUGGCACCUUCGGUGUCCGAGUUGUAAUUUGAAGAAGGUAACUUUGGAGUUGGCUCUUGUCUAUGUUCCUUGGAACAGGACGUCACAGAGGGUGAGAAUCCCGUGCGAUGAGAUGCCCAAUUCUAUGUAAAGUGCUUUCGAAGAGUCGAGUUGUUUGGGAAUGCAGCUCUAAGUGGGUGGUAAAUUCCAUCUAAAGCUAAAUAUUGGCGAGAGACCGAUAGCGAACAAGUACAGUGAUGGAAAGAUGAAAAGAACUUUGAAAAGAGAGUGAAAAAGUACGUGAAAUUGUUGAAAGGGAAGGGCUUGAGAUCAGACUUGGUAUUUUGCGAUCCUUUCCUUCUUGGUUGGGUUCCUCGCAGCUUACUGGGCCAGCAUCGGUUUGGAUGGUAGGAUAAUGACUAAGGAAUGUGGCUCUACUUCGGUGGAGUGUUAUAGCCUUGGUUGAUACUGCCUGUCUAGACCGAGGACUGCGUCUUUUGACUAGGAUGUUGGCAUAAUGAUCUUAAGCCACCCGUCUUAAAAAAAGGAACAAAAAAAAAACUUUUCUUCCCCCUUUCUCCUCUGGUAAACGGGAUAACAAGGCUUGACGCAAUAGGAAAGUGAGAUGUGUAUAAG
RNAcentral lists this ribosomal RNA (672 nucleotides) under Debaryomyces hansenii. RNAcentral's name for it is "LSU rRNA". The stretch from base 1 to 584 matches the Rfam family "Eukaryotic large subunit ribosomal RNA", at positions 66 to 664 of the family's 3401-position model. Lineage: Eukaryota; Fungi; Ascomycota; Pichiomycetes; Serinales; Debaryomycetaceae. The record is from RNAcentral.